This 513-nucleotide ribosomal RNA is filed under the name uncultured Glomeromycotina. Its description in RNAcentral is "SSU rRNA". It matches the Rfam family "Eukaryotic small subunit ribosomal RNA", at positions 569 to 1083 of the family's 1831-position model. The record is from RNAcentral. Lineage: Eukaryota; Fungi; Glomeromycota.
AGCAGCCGCGGUAAUUCCAGCUCCAAUAGCGUAUAUUAAAGUUGUUGCAGUUAAAAAGCUCGUAGUUGAACUUCGGGAUUCACCCAUUGGUCAGGCUUAAUUGUCUGUACUGGUGAGAUGAGUCUCUACCUUCUGAGGAACUUUCAUGCCAUUUAUUUGGUGCGGCUGGAAAUCAGGACUGUUACUUUGAAAAAUUAGAGUGUUUAAAGCAGGCUAACGUCUGAAUACAUUAGCAUGGAAUAAUGAAAUAGGACGGAUUGAUUCUAUUUCGUUGGUUUCUAGGGUCACCGUAAUGAUUAAUAGGGAUAGUUGGGGGCAUUAGUAUUCAAUUGUCAGAGGUGAAAUUCUUGGAUUUAUUGAAGACUAACUACUGCGAAAGCAUUUGCCAAGGAUGUUUUCAUUAAUCAAGAACGAAAGUUAGGGGAUCGAAGACGAUCAGAUACCGUCGUAGUCUUAACUAUAAACUAUGCCGACUAGGGAUCGGACGCAGUUAAUUUAUAAUGACGUGUUCGG